RNAcentral lists this small RNA (121 nucleotides) under Olleya namhaensis. Its description in RNAcentral is "Flavo-1 RNA". It matches the Rfam family "Flavo-1 RNA". The record is from Rfam by way of RNAcentral. Lineage: Bacteria; Pseudomonadati; Bacteroidota; Flavobacteriia; Flavobacteriales; Flavobacteriaceae.
AAACACCCGCGUUAGCGAUAGAAACGGUAUCCUUUUUUACGUCAGUUCGAGUAUUUUGUGAAGCAUGAGCAAAAUGUAUCGAGAACAAGUAAAAAAGAUUUAGUGGAUAGCGCGACCCUUG